AGUGAACGCUGGCGGUAGGCCUAACACAUGCAAGUCGAACGGCAGCACAGUGAGAGCUUGCUCUUACGGGUGGCGAGUGGCGGACGGGUGAGGAAUACAUCGGAAUCUACUUUUUCGUGGGGGAUAACGUAGGGAAACUUACGCUAAUACCGCAUACGACCUACGGGUGAAAGCAGGGGAUCUUCGGACCUUGCGCGAUUGAAUGAGCCGAUGUCGGAUUAGCUAGUUGGCGGGGUAAAGGCCCACCAAGGCGACGAUCCGUAGCUGGUCUGAGAGGAUGAUCAGCCACACUGGAGCGUAGACACGGUCCAGACUCCUACGAGAGGCAGCAGUGGGGAAUAUUGGACAAUGGGCGCAAGCCUGAUCCAGCCAUACCGCGUGGGUGAAGAAGGCCUUCGGGUUGUAAAGCCCUUUUGUUGGGAAAGAAAAGCAGCAGGUUAAUACCCCGCUGUUCUGACGGUACCCAAAGAAUAAGCACCGGCUAACUUCGUG
This 492-nucleotide ribosomal RNA is filed under the name uncultured bacterium. Its description in RNAcentral is "partial 16S ribosomal RNA". It matches the Rfam family "Bacterial small subunit ribosomal RNA", at positions 29 to 507 of the family's 1533-position model. The record is from RNAcentral.